Mustela lutreola (European mink) is the source of this 1342-nucleotide long non-coding RNA. RefSeq lists it as uncharacterized. The transcript has 3 exons. The record is from RefSeq and is a predicted model, not a curated record. Lineage: Eukaryota; Metazoa; Chordata; Mammalia; Carnivora; Mustelidae.
UGGCGGCCUGUGGGGGAGGGGGUCACGCAGACAAGUGGCUGCAGCCACAGCUACUGCUCUCAGGAGUCUGCCUCAGGUGCCAGGCGCCAAGUGCUGGAGCCCUCCAAACAGUGACAGGAUCCCCACGCUGGGGCUGGAUGAUGUAGGCCUCUCCUUCAAGCUUUGCUUGCCUGGGAGGGUGCCCAGGAGUGGGGCCCGAGAAACGUGUCUUCAGCCAAAGGACCGCCGUGUGCAGAGCACCAGAGCGGGCCAGUGGGCGGCGGCCGCCCAGGCGCGGGAUCUCUCCAUCCCCACUGAGGCCCAGCUCUCUGGCCCUCCAUCUCGUGGUGCAGGCCAGGCUUUGCCAGCCAAGAGAAGUCUCUGGAGGUGAAGAGACAGUCCCCAUUUCCCCGGCAGAGCAGACCUGCGCCUUUGGAGCUCCCGGACUGGCCUGGCCACUUGUGGGCGCCGUCAUCCUCCAGCACUGGGAAGUGACUCAGGAGAAUUCAGCGCUGCUGCAGGCGGGAGCCCUGACGCCAGGCCGCCUCCAUGGAGCUGCUGGCAUCCCAGCUCAGCCCGCCUCCCUCCUGGUGUCAUCCCAGCCUGGCCUUGCCUGGCUCCGAUGGCCCUGAGCAGACACGCACUGGAGGCCCAGCCAGAUGGUGGCCCCCAACGGCCCAGAGCGUCGUGCGGGUUCUCAGCAUCCCUUGUGCCACAUUCCCGGGGCCCAAGUCACCCUCUACUCACCAGGGAGCCCCUGUGUGCUGCCCCUGCCGCCUCAUCCCUGCAGAGCCAGUGAGGCCCAAAGCCCAGUGAGUCCCCUGUUUACACACAGCGGGGGCUUCUGCCCCCAGCCGGGCUCUGCCGCUACACCACUGUGGGACUCCGGGAAGCCCCUGCCUCAGUCUCCCUAGCUAGCCCACGGAGCGGGCCCCUUCGCCUCCCAGACUGGUGUAUGCACAAAAUGAGGUCCUGGACAGAGAUGCUCAUGGCCUUUGCUGCAGAGGAAAGCAAAGUGGGCCUGGUGACAAGGCCCCCCUCCCAGGCCCUCCCCCAGCGUCCUGGCCCCACCCCUUCCAGGCACUGAUGCUCAAACGCUAUUAUUAUUAGCCAGAGUCUGAGACUGGAGAAUGGGAGAAGGCAGUGCAGAGGGACCUGGGAGUGGGGGGUGGGGGGUGGGGGGGAUUUGUGGUUCUGCCAGAUAGACCUUGUGCCCUAUUCCUGUGUGACAGUAGGAGGUGGCCCUAGGGGCCAAGCUGUGCCCGCUCCUCCACGGGCCCCUUGGCUUCCCUGGCUGGAAGCAGAAGCCAGCGCAGACUCUUCGGAGCGGCCCUCCCCUAGCCCAGGUCCAGCCUAGGUUGGG